Non-coding RNA from Dioszegia hungarica, 99 nucleotides. The record is from the annotation of a RefSeq genome assembly. Lineage: Eukaryota; Fungi; Basidiomycota; Tremellomycetes; Tremellales; Bulleribasidiaceae.
GACCCAUUGGUAAAGGGGUAUUAUAUAUCCUUCGGGCUUCGCCGCUCGCUUCUGUCGAAGUUACUGGAUAUGGCCCGCGUUCGAGUCGCGGAUGGGUCC